This 407-nucleotide ribosomal RNA is filed under the name Clostridioides difficile. Its description in RNAcentral is "bacterial SSU rRNA". It matches the Rfam family "Bacterial small subunit ribosomal RNA", at positions 205 to 633 of the family's 1533-position model. Lineage: Bacteria; Bacillati; Bacillota; Clostridia; Peptostreptococcales; Peptostreptococcaceae. The record is from RNAcentral.
AGGUGAGCCAGUACAGGAUGGACCCGCGUCUGAUUAGCUAUUUGGUAAGGUAACGGCUUACCAAGGCGACGAUCAGUAGCCGACCUGAGAGGGCGAUCGGCCACAUUGGAACUGAGACACGGUCCAAACUCCUACGGGAGGCAGCAGUGGGGAAUAUUGCACAAUGGGCGAAAGCCUGAUGCAGCAACGCCGCGUGAGUGAUGAAGGCCUUCGGGUCGUAAAACUCUGUCCUCAAGGAAGAUAAUGACGGUACUUGAGGAGGAAGCCCCGGCUAACUACGUGCCAGCAGCCGCGGUAAUACGUAGGGGGCUAGCGUUAUCCGGAUUUACUGGGCGUAAAGGGUGCGUAGGCGGUCUUUCAAGUCAGGAGUGAAAGGCUACGGCUCAACCGUAGUAAGCUCUUGAAAC